Molecule: ribosomal RNA, 468 nt
Filed under: uncultured bacterium
Lineage: Bacteria
Description: partial 16S ribosomal RNA
Rfam family: Bacterial small subunit ribosomal RNA
Source: RNAcentral
GACGAACGCUGGCGGCGUGCUUAACACAUGCAAGUCGAACGGUGAAGCUCCAGCUUGCUGGAGUGGAUCAGUGGCGAGCGGGUGAGUAACACGUGAGCAACCUGCCCCUGACUCUGGAAUAAGCGCUGGAAACGGCGUCUAAUACUGGAUACGAGAAGGGUCCGCAUGGGCACUUUCUGGAAAGUUUUUCGGUUGGGGAUGGGCUCGCGGCCUAUCAGCUUGUUGGUGAGGUAAUGGCUCACCAAGGCGACGACGGGUAGCCGGCCUGAGAGGGCGACCGGCCACACUGGGACUGAGACACGGCCCAGACUCCUACGGGAGGCAGCAGUGGGGAAUAUUGCACAAUGGGCGAAAGCCUGAUGCAGCGACGCCGCGUGAGGGAUGACGGCCUUCGGGUUGUAAACCUCUUUCAGCAGGGAAGAAGCGAAAGUGACGGUACCUGCAGAAGAAGCACCGGCUAACUACGUG